Molecule: long non-coding RNA, 2986 nt
Organism: Antechinus flavipes (yellow-footed antechinus)
Lineage: Eukaryota; Metazoa; Chordata; Mammalia; Dasyuromorphia; Dasyuridae
Exons: 4
Source: RefSeq, a predicted model, not a curated record
AGGGGCAGAGAGAGGAGCCUCUUAGUAUUAAUGUACUAAAGGUUGGGCUUAUCCUGAGGCAUCAACUUGGAGGGGACUUAAUUAUAGCUCACUACAAACUUAAGGUAGGCCUUCUCUCUCUAGAGGGCAACGAAGCUAACCUGUGCCAGGGGCUUAGAGAAACAGCACCUAGAUGCAGUUUUAUAUAUGGUAAAUAUUUCCUAAAUGAAAAUUAAUCUAUUGUUUAUAUUUUUUCUAAGGGUCAACAGCAAAGGUUUGAGCCACUGAGACCUCUGGUUAUAAUUAGGAAGAUACAGGGGCACCAAAGUAGAUUUUAGAGAAGUAUUGAGCUCUGAACAGAGCUGUCAGUGAUUGGUUAGCUAAUUGGUUAGCCCACAGUUGAAGGCUUUCCUAUUAAGGAAAGCUGCCUCCUAUUAAGAAACACAAUGAUAACCUCAUGCUACUUAGUGGAGGAGAAGGGGGACAGCUUUGCUACUACAUAGGAUGAAUUCUAAAGCUGGAAGAGAUCAUCUAGUUCAAUCCUCUCAUUUUAUGAAGAAAAGUGAGAACCCUUGAAGUAGCCUGCUCAGUAUCAUAAAACCAAUCAUUAGCAUAGCCAACUCUGGAACCCAGGUCUCUGACGCCAAAUCUAGUAUUCUUAUUCCUAAUACCAGAUUGCCAGUGGCAGUUCUAGGUAACCAUUACUCCAAUCCUAUUACACACACAAGAAGGUAAAACUGACAAUAUAUUGUGCAGCAUUCAGGAUUUGAACAGGUACUUAUUUGAGAAGUAAACUCAGAGCUCCCUUUUUGCCUCAAAUGAAUUUCAUAUAAAAGUUGUCUUUAGAUAUUAUACUCAAACCAGGGGUUCUUAACUUUUUUUGAGGGGGGGAAAGGGAGAAUCUGAUGGACCCAUUCUCAGAAUAACAUUUUUAAAUAAUUAAGAAAAUGGUUAAUUUGUUAGAGGCUAAUUCAAGACGGAUUUUUUUCUUCCCAUCAAGUUUAUGUACAUUCUGCUAUAUCUAUCCACAGAUACCUUCUUUAUAGUUCUGUGGAUCCUGGUUAAGAACCCCUGACUUAAACAAAGAUACAGUCUUUGGCACAAGACUUUCAUUCCAAGAGGACCAUUACAGAAUUGGAGUAUCAGAAUUGGAAGUCACCUCUCUCCACUUCCUAGCAGAGUUGGGGAGUUACGGGAGUGGAAAGCUACAUGUAACUGCUGGGUUUUUUUUUUUUUUUUUGCUUUUUGCUUAAUUUUCCUGAAUUGCUUUCCUUUUCCUUUUUCUUAUUAUAAGGGACACCUCUUCAGGAGAUACAAGGAAGAGGAAGAAAUAUAGAUCAAGUGUGGAAUACUGACUUGAUACAUAACAAAGCUGAUCAUAUGUCUGGCCCAGAUGAAGAAAUAAGGGAGGGGACAGAAGAGUUGGUGCUUAAAGUCAGAAAACAGAGUCCCAGAGAGAAUGACUUCAUUGAAAUUGAACUGGACAGACAAAAACUGACCUAUCAGAACCUGAUGCAAGUGAGUUGUCGGGAAUUAGGAAUUAACCUGGAGCAAGUAACGAAGAUUAGAAAGCUACCCAACACACUGCUCAGAAAAGACAAAGAUGUUUCAAGACUACAGGAAUUUCAAGAACUAGAGCUGAUUCUAGUGGAUCAUGCCGUGACUGAAUCUACACCAUCACUGAUAGAGAAACCCUGCUACAAUUACAUUGCUGCAAAAAUGACUUACUAAGCCUAAACAUAAGAACCCGAGAACAAAUUAUCCUAAGUAUUGGCUAUAGAUUAAGAAAUCUGAUUCCACUUUCAGCUCCAACAUGUAAUAAUGCUUGGCUAGAUAUAUAGCUCCUCAUCUAUGACUUUUCUGUAACUUUAUAUAGCAAGUUGUGUGUGUGUGUAUAAAAAAUGAAAAUGAAUUGUUUUGUUGGGGAAAAAAUCUGAGUCUACAGUUCUCAAACCAGUACCUAAUAACAUACUCUACUCUGUUAAAGAGAAAUAUACAAAGUCAAAGAUUAAUUAGCAUUCGUUCACCAAUAAUUUAUUUUUCUUCUAUAAAGUACUAGAUGGGUUUCUUGAAAGAUGAUUACUUUCCAAUGGCUUGUUAUUUAGGCAGCAAUUUAAUCCCAAACCCUUACAUUGGCAUACUGAUCGGGAAGGGUCAGGGAGGACUGGGUGAGGCUAAUAGCCAUAAUACCUCACCUCACAGAUUGAGCCAGGAUAUAGCUACUUCAUUCCACAGUGGACAACUCUAGUUCCUAAACAACUAUGGAAUUAAAUUGACCCCUUUGCUUGAAGCCUGGCUACUCUAAUUUUCCUGCUUAGAUGCUUCAUUGAUACUUCUGAAUAUAACUGCAAAAUAAUUAAAGUACUAAACUAUAAAAAUGACAGCACAACAUAUAAUAAUCUCUCAAAAUGACAUGCUUGCCAAUAGUACCUUAGUUAUUCAAAUCUAAGUCUUAAAUAAAAGUACUUAACCCCAGUUGCUUUAUUCUAGCACCCUGCAGAAUACCUUCUUUAGUGGUUACUAGUUAAUAUUUUGCACAGUGUAUUUGAAGGCAAUUAAUAUAUGUUACUAAUGACAAUGAGCUUGGGAAAGCAUAUUCAUUUUGAAAAAUUAACUUAAAUCAAAUUAUUAAAAUGAACCUACUGCCAAAGAAAUCCUUUGUACAAAUUAUAGUUUAUAUUUGCUUCAGCCAAAUAUAAAAAAAACCUAAGAUUAGGUGUUUAUAAUUUUUAUACUACUGCUCUACUGUAUUAAUGUGGUUACAGCCGAUUUCUUCUAUACAGAAUGUCAUCAUGCAUUUUAUAGCGGUAAAUCUACAUUUUUAAGUAGAACACCAGGUCCAAAUGUAUAUUAAGGUAAAAUCUGAAAAUGAAUGUGAUUUUAUAAAUAUUAAGUGGAAAACAAAAUAGGAUGGGAAAUCUUUCAUGACUCUAUAUUUGUGAAUUAGAUAAAUGUUUGGCUUCUUUUUUCAUUAAUUAAAAUAAACUAACUUUAUACGUUACUGUCA